UACGUAGGGUGCAGGCGUUAAUCGGAAUUACUGGGCGUAAAGCGUGCGCAGGCGGUUUCUUAAGUCAGAUGUGAAAGCCCCGGGCUUAACCUGGGAACUGCGUUUGAAACUGGGAGACUUGAGUGUAGCAGAGGGGGGUGGAAUUCCACGUGUAGCAGUGAAAUGCGUAGAGAUGUGGAGGAACACCGAUGGCGAAGGCAGCCCCCUGGGCUGAGAUUGACGCUCAGGCACGAAAGCGUGGGGAGCAAACAGG
RNAcentral lists this ribosomal RNA (253 nucleotides) under uncultured bacterium. Its description in RNAcentral is "partial 16S ribosomal RNA". It matches the Rfam family "Bacterial small subunit ribosomal RNA", at positions 524 to 776 of the family's 1533-position model. The record is from RNAcentral.